CCCGCAGGCGGCGUACCAAGUUGGACGUGAAAGCUCCUGGCUUAACCGGGAGAGGCCGUUCAAAACUGGUGCACUGGAGGACAGCAGAGGAGCAUGGAAUUCCGGGUGGAGUGGUGAAAUGCGUAGAUAUCCGGAGGAACACCAGAGGCGAAGGCGAUGCUCUGGGCUGGACCUGACGCUGAGGGGCGAAAGCGUGGGUAGCGAACG
Molecule: ribosomal RNA, 207 nt
Filed under: uncultured bacterium
Lineage: Bacteria
Description: partial 16S ribosomal RNA
Rfam family: Bacterial small subunit ribosomal RNA
Source: RNAcentral